GUGCUCGCUUCGGCAGCACAUAUACUAAAAUUGGAACGAUACAGAGAAAAUGAGCAUGG
RNAcentral lists this small nuclear RNA (59 nucleotides) under Ursus maritimus (polar bear). The record is from RNAcentral. Lineage: Eukaryota; Metazoa; Chordata; Mammalia; Carnivora; Ursidae.